CGGGUGAGUAACACGUGGGAAUCUGCCCAUUAGUGGGGGAUAACUCGGGGAAACUCGAGCUAAUACCGCAUAAUCCCUACGGGGGAAAGCAGGGGAUCUUCGGACCUUGCGCUGAUGGAUGAGCCCGCGUCGGAUUAGCUUGUUGGUGGGGUAAUGGCCCACCAAGGCGACGAUCCGUAACUGGUCUGAGAGGAUGGCCAGUCACACCGGGACUGAGACACGGCCCGGACUCCUACGGGAGGCAGCAGUGGGGAAUCUUGGACAAUGGGCGCAAGCCUGAUCCAGCCAUGCCGCGUGUGUGAAGAAGGCCUUCGGGUUGUAAAGCACUUUCAGUAGGGAGGAAGGCUUUGGGCUAAUACCCUGGAGUACUUGACGUUACCUACAGAAGAAGCACCGGCUAAUUUCGUGCCAGCAGCCGCGGUAAUACGAAAGGUGCGAGCGUUAAUCGGAAUUACUGGGCGUAAAGCGCGCGUAGGCGGUGUGUUAAGUCGGAUGUGAAA
RNAcentral lists this ribosomal RNA (500 nucleotides) under Alcanivorax sp. ZXM221. RNAcentral's name for it is "bacterial SSU rRNA". It matches the Rfam family "Bacterial small subunit ribosomal RNA", at positions 103 to 599 of the family's 1533-position model. Lineage: Bacteria; Pseudomonadati; Pseudomonadota; Gammaproteobacteria; Oceanospirillales; Alcanivoracaceae. The record is from RNAcentral. RNAcentral also lists the same sequence under 2 other names.